This 467-nucleotide ribosomal RNA is filed under the name uncultured bacterium. Its description in RNAcentral is "bacterial SSU rRNA". It matches the Rfam family "Bacterial small subunit ribosomal RNA", at positions 29 to 507 of the family's 1533-position model. The record is from RNAcentral.
AUGAACGCUAGCGGCAAGGCCUAAUACAUGCAAGGCGAAGGGGCAGCAAUGUCACUGUCGUACGGGUGCGUAACGCGUAUGCAACCUACCUAUCACAGGGGAAUAGCCUUUGGAAACAGGGAUUAAUACCGCAUAAAGCAGGGACACCGCAUGGUGAUAUUGCUAAAGAUUUAUCGGUGAUAGAUGGGCAUGCGUCUGAUUAGUUAGUUGGCAGGGUAACGGCCUACCAAGACGAUGAUCAGUAGGGGGCGUCAGAGCGUGGUCCCCCACACUGGCACUGAGAUACGGGCCAGACUCCUACGGGAGGCAGCAGUAGGGAAUAUUGGGCAAUGGAUGCAAGUCUGACCCAGCCAUGCCGCGUGCAGGAUGAAGGCGUUAUGCGUUGUAAACUGCUUUUAUACAGGAAGAAACGACUCUUGCGAGAGGCAUUGACGGUACUGUAUGAAUAAGCACCGGCUAACUCCGUG